This 253-nucleotide ribosomal RNA is filed under the name uncultured bacterium. RNAcentral describes it as "partial 16S ribosomal RNA". It matches the Rfam family "Bacterial small subunit ribosomal RNA", at positions 524 to 776 of the family's 1533-position model. The record is from RNAcentral.
UACGUAGGUGGCGAGCGUUGUCCGGAAUCACUGGGCGUAAAGGGCGCGUAGGCGGCGAUACAAGUCGCAUGUGAAAUACCAGGGCUUAACCCUGGGGGGCCAUGCGAAACUGUAUUGCUUGAGUGCAGUAGAGGAAAGCGGAAUUCCUGGUGUAGCGGUAAAAUGCGUAGAGAUCAGGAGGAACACCGGUGGCGAAGGCGGCUUUCUGGGCUGCAACUGACGCUGAUGCGCGAAAGCGUGGGGAGCAAACAGG